GACGAACGCUGGCGGCGUGCUUAACACAUGCAAGUCGAACGGUGAAGCGCCUUCCUUUUUGGUGGGUGUGGAGGAGUGGCGGAGGGGUGAGUAACACGUGAGUAACCUGCUCACUUCUUCUGGAUAACGGCAUGAAAGAGUGGCUAAUACGGGAUAUUUUGGGUCUGUUGCAUGAUGGGUGUGGGAAAGAUUUUGUUUCGGUUGGGGAUGGGCUCGCGGCGUAUUAGCUUGUUGGUGGGGUGAUGGCCUACCAAGGCGGUGAGGGGUAGCCGGCCUGAGGGGAUCGACCACACCACAAGUGCGGAACCGUGCACAAGACUCCUACGGGAGGCAGCAGGGGGGAUUACGGCAUGGGGGGAGGAAGGCUGGUGCAACGACGCGUGGGUAGUGAAGGUCUCCUGCGCGUUGUAAACCGCUAUCGCCAGUGAAGCAAGCCUGCCUCGUCUGUGCAUGUGUUGACGGUAGCUAGACAAAAAGCGACGGCUAACUACGUG
Molecule: ribosomal RNA, 494 nt
Filed under: uncultured bacterium
Lineage: Bacteria
Description: partial 16S ribosomal RNA
Rfam family: Bacterial small subunit ribosomal RNA
Source: RNAcentral